This 386-nucleotide transfer-messenger RNA is filed under the name Helicobacter pylori. It matches the Rfam family "transfer-messenger RNA". Rfam says of the family: Bacterial tmRNA, also known as 10Sa RNA or SsrA, is named for its dual tRNA and mRNA-like properties. Lineage: Bacteria; Pseudomonadati; Campylobacterota; Epsilonproteobacteria; Campylobacterales; Helicobacteraceae. The record is from RNAcentral.
GGGGCUGACUUGGAUUUCGACAGAUUUCUUGUCGCACAGAUAGCAUGCCAAGUGCUACUUGUAAAACAGCAACAAAAAUAACUGUAAACAACACAGAUUACGCUCCAGCUUACGCUAAAGCUGCGUGAGUUAAUCUCCUUUUGGAGCUGGAUUGAUUAGAAUUUCUAGCGUUUUAAUCACUCCAUAACCUUAAGCUAGACGCUUUUAAAAGGUGGUUCGCCUUUUAAACUAAGAAACAAGAACUCUUGAAACUAUCUCAAGGUUUUAGAAAGUUGGACCAGAGCUAGUUUUAAGGCUAAAAAACCAACCAAUUUUCUAAGCAUUGUAGAAGUUUGUGUUUAGGGCAAGAUUUUUGGACUGGGGUUCGAUUCCCCACAGCUCCACCA